CUUGAGCGAGCGAGAAGCCUCCGCAUGUCCACUCACGCCGGGAACAUGGACGAGAAGGACAGAUAUUCCAGAGGCUUGGUCUGGAGGAUGAAUGCCCAUGAACCAGGAUUGGCAGAAUGUUCCUGAAGUAAAGUGUUAGGAUUAUACAACGCUAACAAGAUGGCAUAGUUCCUACUUCCCCAAAGUUCCGUCUAGGCAUUGAUAUGAGGCAGAGCAUGGAAUUUCCCAAGGAUCUGCCCAUGUGGAAUGGAAUAGUUCACCAACAUUCAACUUUGUACUUGAAUCUUCAAUACAUUUGAGAGAUUUUAUGACAAGAGGACUUUCCCUGAACUGCUUAGAGAGGAUCUUUUCAAUGUUCCAACUCCUUAAACCAACUAACCCAUCACUGCCAGGUGAACAGAAAUCCCUGAGCAUGGUAAACUCUGAUUUCUGGCAACAGCCAGACACAAGGCGCGGGAGUCUGACCUCGAGCUGAACAUCCCGCUCCACAUGCUCUGGCACAUUGCCGUGCGUACAGGCGUACCCCGCAGACCAAGUGGUUUAUGAUGCCGAUACAUGGGACCCUUCUGGGUCAGGUUGAAAGAAAAGCUGAAUACUCGUAAGGACCAUGAUUGCUUAAGUAAAGGUUGUGGAUGCAUAGUGGUCAUCUGUGGAGCAAACCCAUGAAAGUCAACAUGGAAAGUUUCUUCCUUCAAAAGGUGUAGCUUAUUUGGAAUUCAGUUAAGACCUAAUGAAGUUGCUACUUACUCCCACCUACCUGCUGACCAGUACAAGUUUUGGAGGAAAGACACUGGGGGGAAAUCAACACUUGAAUAUGCACAAGAGAAACCUUCGCUUAGCAGUCUUGUUUGGGCUAAAACCAGAUGCUGAAACCUACGUUUCAAAAUGAAACGUGGAAAGUGAAUAUUCUUGCUUUAACAGUCCCUUCAUGUCAGCAGCUCUGAGCAUAGAUCCAACCCAGUUACGUGUGCAUAGCUGAAAAGGGGCAUUAUAAGGUUUCAGAUGGAACCUCCUUGACACGCCUACAUCCAGUUGCUGGAGAUCCUGGAAAUGGGACACAAGGGAGAGUGGAUGGAGCACUGACGUGGUCUUGGCUACUCAAUGCUGAGAGCUGGAAUUUCCCACUGGUUGGAAUGGUUUUAUCAAAGUUUAGGGAACAAAUUUCCUAGAGUUGGGUUGAUUCUGUGAAUGAAUUUUCUUAAUAAAGGUAUUCCUGUUA
This is a long non-coding RNA of Penaeus chinensis, 1219 nucleotides long. RefSeq lists it as uncharacterized. The transcript is spliced from 11 exons. The record is from RefSeq and is a predicted model, not a curated record. NCBI's taxonomy places the organism in Eukaryota, Metazoa, Arthropoda, Malacostraca, Decapoda, Penaeidae.